Molecule: unclassified non-coding RNA, 516 nt
Filed under: Hevea brasiliensis (rubber tree)
Lineage: Eukaryota; Viridiplantae; Streptophyta; Magnoliopsida; Malpighiales; Euphorbiaceae
Source: RNAcentral
CUCCGGUGCCUAUAUCAAAACCUCUCACAAUAUCUCCAUUUAUGUUAUUUUUCGGAAUGAUGUCAGAGAGAAGAUCGUCAAUCCAAUGGAUGUAGUUGGAUCUGGGAACUGUAGGGCAGAGUUGCCCAUCAGGAAUCCACCAAUUGAGGCCAUGAUCAUGGAGAAGCAAAACCCGAGUGAGCUCCCGGGUGGAGUUAAAGUCGGUCCAGUCAAUUCUGGGUCUACCAUCAGGAGAAUAGAAUACAUAGGGCUUAAAAGAAGGGUAGAGAGAAGCAAGGAGAGAAAAAUCAGGUGGGUUAUCUGCAUAUUUGUUCUUGGGGUGGAUGGUUGGUCGAUCGGGUCUCUUCCUCUUGCUCUUUUUCUUGCUCGGCAUUUUCUUUUUUCUGCUUUGGACAGGGAUGACAACAGGAAGGUACCCGUAAAAUUUGAAGUAUCCAAAUCUGAACCCUUGUGAUAUAUAAGUUACCCGAAAAGGUCCUGGUUGACAGUCUUUGACCCAACAAAAGCUUCAAUCUU